RNAcentral lists this unclassified non-coding RNA (241 nucleotides) under plant metagenome. Its description in RNAcentral is "partial contains small subunit ribosomal RNA, internal transcribed spacer 1, and 5.8S ribosomal RNA". The record is from RNAcentral.
UUUCCGUAGGUGAACCUGCGGAAGGAUCAUUAUUGAAUGAAACACUUCUGGCUUUAUGCUGUUGUGCUGGCCCUUUGGGCAAUGUGCACACGGCUCUGGUCACUUGUUUCUUCUGUUCCACCUGUGCACUGCCUGUAGACACGCUGUGUCUAUGAUAUUUGUUAACACACAACAAUGUUAGUUGGCAUGUUAUAUGUAAUAAUAAAAUAUACAACUCUCAACAACGGAUCUCUUGGCUCUC